Molecule: long non-coding RNA, 2173 nt
Organism: Centruroides sculpturatus (bark scorpion)
Lineage: Eukaryota; Metazoa; Arthropoda; Arachnida; Scorpiones; Buthidae
Exons: 3
Source: RefSeq, a predicted model, not a curated record
AUUAUAAAUUAAUAAAAAAAAUAAAAUUGAUUUUUUUUUAAUUCCAAUUUUUACGUAAUUCGAAGAUCGUUGACGCGUCUUUUAACGUUUGUUCGAAAUACGUCACAUGACGAUUCGCAGUUCGAUUGCGUUUCUGGUUCUGGUUGGACGUGCUUUUCUUGCGCUCGUAAUUUAUGUGCUGUUUUUCGCUGUUUGCGGACUUUUCGGUAGAAGAUUAAAGAUUUUUCAGGUAAGUCUUAGUCCAUAUUGACCCUAGACGUAAGAAUUUGUUUAAUAUUACUUAGAGAAUCGCUCCCAGAAGACAUCUCGGCACAUCGUUCGAUGGUCGGCCGUUUUCGUUUUGAAUCUUUUACAUUUAAAAAGGCAGCUGCGAAUGAAGAUGUUUGCGUGGUUUCGCCGGAGGUUCCGACAGAAGAAUGCCGGAGGGAGGGGGUUUCUCGGACGGCUCCGAUGAGACGUUCGAGGACCGUGAGCUCAACUGAGUCUCUGUCGAAUCGAUUAGUUCGGUGUCGUUUGAGGCCGUCGAGCAUGAGGCAGCGGGUGGUGACGACCUUCCUCCAGUGCGUGUGGCGUGGGACUCUCCCAGAGGCGGGAGAGUUCUGAGUCCAUUCCACUUGGCUAAGGUCGUCAGGGAUCAGCCGGCCUAUGUCCUUGUUAAGUAAGGCAUAGGGAGUACCGAGUCCUCUUGGAGUUCGUCUAUUUUCACGAGAUCUGCCUCUCGGUCUGUGCUCGCGAGUACGUCGCCAUCGUCUUUCGGAAGUCGGAACGGGGAAGAUUCGGAGGAGAGCACCGCCGAAAUCGAGGAACUGCGGCUUUGUUGCUGUGGGUGGCUGUGGUUCUCUUGGCCUAGGCAGUGAUCCUUUUCGAUUUUCCCUAAUUCGUCCUUUGCACCCGGAUGCGACAUUCUGACCGGAUUCGACACUUUUCAUCCGGACAUGAUCUCUUUACUCGGACUUGGCCUUCUCUUACCCGGAUGUUCUCAUGGACUUGUCUCCCAAACGUGACACUCGAUGACAACAAUGGAUUUGACUUCCGAUUGUGACCACCCGGACGCGACAUUCGGCCUACCUUUCUUCCCAAGCAGCUGUUAUGAGGAUUGAGCUUCCGGUUACGGUAAGUUAGGCUAGGCUAGGUCAGGUCAGGUCCUUCGCUCUUCUCAUAACACUGUUCGGGAAGAAAGACUGUCUGAUAAAGGUAAUAAUGUUGACCUUAGGUAAUAAAUGAAUGAAAUUCUCAUUUUCUCACUAUCUUUUGUGUUCUAUAGGAACAUUUGGGAGGGAGAAGAAUCUCCCUCCCCAACUUUACCGCGAAGAGGAUGAAAUGGCCAUUUAUCGUGCAAGUGAAUAUUUUCCGAAAUCUUCGAUGCCUACAGACGUAAGCCAGACACAUUCGCCAUGUUGAGAAAUGAGAAAGAUCAGGCCGAAAUCGAAAAAACACCAUGAAGAACUCCUGUUAAAGGAUAAAAGAUUCAACAGGGACCUCGUAUAUGUCAGAUCUAUAAAAAGGUCGCUCAGACAAUGCCUCUGUUUUGUGCUCACAGAGUGAGCACAAAACAGACAUUGAAAAAAAAAAACAAUACCAUCUUAGCGAUAUAUUCCAACGAAAAUAGCAUUAUCCCUAACCUACAACAAGCGACACCGAUUCGACAAGCCCAACAUAUCAACCAACUAUAAAUCUGGAGAGGUUAGAAAUUUUUAAAGUGGACUGCAAAGGCCUGUCAAUCAAUUUUAAAGAAGAAAAACAACUAUCAAGAGCAUGGCAGGCUAUUUAUGACGCAACGCUAUAAUAAUUAGUGCAGGUGCACGUCAUUUGGAGAUUCGAAUUUUGAAAUUUUAAAAAAUAAAUUCCAAAGAUAGAAGCAUUAGAGACCCAAAUGGUUAAAAAUCGGAAUCGCACUAGAAAAACUUGUAAAACACCUGAGGAAGACCCUAGAAGUGGGUCGAAAACGUUUGUGUUACAUUUUUAAGUAGUAAAUGCAAAGCUAUACAAGGUUAGUAUGACAUAUCUGUAAUUAUCACUUUGUUUACUGGAUGGAUUUGAUUUAUUUCCACUCUAGUAAUUUUCUACAAGGUUAUAUGCUGCCAUAAGUUAUCCACUCAAAAUUAUUUUAAGAUAUAUAUAUAUAUUAUUAUUAUUAUUAUUAUUAUUGUGAUGUUAAAAGAAUUAUAAUAAA